UCCGAAUUGGUGUAGUGGCUAACAUUUGGUGCUCUCACUUGGUUGGUUACAUAUAUCAACCUUCUACGUGAUCCGCCAAGCCCGGGGUUCGAUUCCCCGAUUCGGAG
Molecule: non-coding RNA, 107 nt
Organism: Hypoxylon fuscum
Lineage: Eukaryota; Fungi; Ascomycota; Sordariomycetes; Xylariales; Hypoxylaceae
Source: the annotation of a GenBank genome assembly